This 468-nucleotide ribosomal RNA is filed under the name uncultured bacterium. RNAcentral describes it as "partial 16S ribosomal RNA". It matches the Rfam family "Bacterial small subunit ribosomal RNA", at positions 28 to 507 of the family's 1533-position model. The record is from RNAcentral.
GACGAACGCUGGCGGCGUGCUUAACACAUGCAAGUCGAACGGAAAGGCCCUGCUUUUGUGGGGUGCUCGAGUGGCGAACGGGUGAGUAACACGUGAGUAACCUGCCCUUGACUUUGGGAUAACUUCAGGAAACUGUGGCUAAUACCGGAUAGGAGCUCCUGCUGCAUGGUGGGGGUUGGAAAGUUUCGGCGGUUGGGGAUGGACUCGCGGCUUAUCAGCUUGUUGGUGGGGGAGUGGCUUACCAAGGCUUUGACGGGUAGCCGGCCUGAGAGGGUGACCGGCAACAUUGGGACUGAGAUACGGCCCAGACUCCUACGGGAGGCAGCAGUGGGGAAUAUUGCACAAUGGGCGGAAGCCUGAUGCAGCAACGCCGCGUGCGGGAUGACGGCCUUCGGGUUGUAAACCGCUUUCGCCUGUGACGAAGCGUGAGUGACGGUAAUGGGUAAAGAAGCACCGGCUAACUACGUG